GUUCAGGUGCACAUUAAGAAUCUGAUUUCUAAUUCCCAGAGAGAAGUCCUGAGCAAAAAAGACUCAGAAGAUGAGCAGAUCUUGAAUGAAAUGGGAUUUAAGACUCCUAGGAACAAAGGAAAUGGAGCUUCCUGUCAGCAGGAAGAAGGGGAGGCUGAUGGUGGCAGGGUGGCUGUGCUUGAUACAAGCCUACAGCAAGGGCUCAGCAGCAAUGACCCACACGAGCCGCUGGCCCAGCCCAGGACGGUCCCUGCCACCGAAGUCAGAUCUGAAGAAUUUGCUGUUUCCCAUCUGCAGCCUUCAUCUUCCCGUAAGGAAGUUCAUGUUUUCUCCAGGUAUUUGCUGCUGGGAGCUGUGCCUAGUAAGGCAUUACAUCCUCAGGGUGCACCAAAGGGCCGGGACAGAGACACCAUGUGCUGGUUGCAGAGCAUCAUCAAGCUGUCAGCCCUCCGACCACCACAUCAGGCAGCACCAAAAGGUCUUCCUCUAAAUUGCCUCUGUUGCAUGUGUGGCUGUGAUUUUGUAUGGCUGUAUCUUACUGAUCAAAGAACUUCCAUUUCUUGA
RNAcentral lists this long non-coding RNA (564 nucleotides) under Anas platyrhynchos platyrhynchos (common mallard). RNAcentral describes it as "lncRNA (ENSAPLG00000027107.1)". Lineage: Eukaryota; Metazoa; Chordata; Aves; Anseriformes; Anatidae. The record is from RNAcentral.